CAAAUAUCAUGAAACUGCUUGGGGAACUUUCUACUGCUCAUUUUCACUACUACUUCCUCUGUUAACUGAUUCCAAUACCUUUUUAACAUCUUCUUGUUGAGCAUCAGGACCAAGAGAGAAAAGAAGAACACAAGAAGAGUAAAGAGACAAAAGUGACAAGAGCCUGGAAAGGAUGGGAGGCCCUGGGGAAAAGUACAUCCUAGGCUAGGAUACCGUGGUGUACUUGAGGGUCACAAGAAGUUGCGUUUUGCCCUAGCCAUCAUCGCUGUCC
This 271-nucleotide long non-coding RNA is filed under the name Coturnix japonica (Japanese quail). RNAcentral's name for it is "lncRNA (ENSCJPG00005000968.1)". Lineage: Eukaryota; Metazoa; Chordata; Aves; Galliformes; Phasianidae. The record is from RNAcentral.